Molecule: non-coding RNA, 35 nt
Filed under: unclassified sequences
Description: DUF805b RNA
Rfam family: DUF805b RNA
About the family: Bacteroidetes, Chlorobi (1 example), Proteobacteria. Lineage (Flavobacteria)
Source: RNAcentral
GAAGAGGUGCCCGAAAAUCUUUGAAAGAGUAGGGA